RNAcentral lists this signal recognition particle RNA (262 nucleotides) under Lachnospiraceae bacterium. Its description in RNAcentral is "signal recognition particle sRNA large type". It matches the Rfam family "Bacterial large signal recognition particle RNA". Rfam says of the family: The signal recognition particle (SRP) is a universally conserved ribonucleoprotein involved in the co-translational targeting of proteins to membranes. Archaeal SRP consists of a 7S RNA and homologues of the eukaryotic SRP19 and SRP54 proteins. In most bacteria, the SRP consists of a 4.5S RNA and the Ffh protein (a homologue of the eukaryotic SRP54 protein). Lineage: Bacteria; Bacillati; Bacillota; Clostridia; Lachnospirales; Lachnospiraceae. The record is from RNAcentral.
CCGCACAGCCGGGGAAUUAGCGGUGCCCUGUACCUGCAAUCCGCUAUAGCAGGGGUGAUGGCUGGCUUAGGGGUAUUUGUUGUAGAGCUGCCCUUGGCAAGUGGCGUUGAAGUCCGGGUCUCGCGCAAUGAGAGCCUACGAACCGUGUCAGGUGGGGAACCAAGCAGCACUAAGUAGGAUUUCCCAUGUGCCGUGAGGGUGCCUGGACUGAGUUAACUGCCAAGGUAACGUCUAUGACGAUGCAACGAAGCCCGCCGUGCGG